CCUACGGGAGGCAGCAGUGAGGAAUAUUGGUCAAUGGUCGGGAGCCUGAACCAGCCAAGUCGCGUGAGGGAGGAAGGUCCUACGGAUCGUAAACCUCUUUUAUCAGGGAACAAAGACCGGGACGUGUCCCGGGUUGUAUGUACCUUAUGAAUAAGGAUCGGCUAACUCCGUGCCAGCAGCCGCGGUAAUACGGAGGAUCCGAGCGUUAUCCGGAUUUAUUGGGUUUAAAGGGUGCGUAGGCGGUCUUUUAAGUCAGCGGUGAAAGUCUGUGGCUCAACCCGCGACUCGCCGUUGAAACUGGGAGGCUUGAGUUUGUUUGAGGUAGGCGGAAUGCGUGGUGUAGCGGUGAAAUGCAUAGAUAUCACGCAGAACCCCGAUUGCGAAGGCAGCAUGCC
RNAcentral lists this ribosomal RNA (395 nucleotides) under uncultured bacterium. RNAcentral's name for it is "partial 16S ribosomal RNA". It matches the Rfam family "Bacterial small subunit ribosomal RNA", at positions 338 to 730 of the family's 1533-position model. The record is from RNAcentral.